Molecule: ribosomal RNA, 412 nt
Filed under: uncultured bacterium
Lineage: Bacteria
Description: bacterial SSU rRNA
Rfam family: Bacterial small subunit ribosomal RNA
Source: RNAcentral
GUGCCAGAAGACUCGGUAAUACGAAGGGGGCUAGCGUUGUUCGGAAUUACUGGGCGUAAAGGGCGCGUAGGCGGCCGUGCAAGUCAGAUGUGAAAGCCCUGGGCUCAACCCAGGAUGUGCAUUUGAUACUGCAUGGCUAGAGUGUCGGAGAGGAUGGUGGAAUUCCCAGUGUAGAGGUGAAAUUCGUAGAUAUUGGGAAGAACACCGGUGGCGAAGGCGACCAUCUGGACGACAACUGACGCUGAGGCGCGAAAGCGUGGGGAGCAAACAGGAUUAGAUACCCUGGUAGUCCACGCCGUAAACUAUGCGUGUUGGACGUUGGCGAGCCUAGCUCGUCGGUGUCGCAGCUAACGCGUGAAGUCAUCCGCCUGGGGAGUACGGUCGCAAGAUUAAAACUCAAAGGAAUUGGCGG